Molecule: non-coding RNA, 28 nt
Filed under: Homo sapiens (human)
Lineage: Eukaryota; Metazoa; Chordata; Mammalia; Primates; Hominidae
Source: RNAcentral
UGAUAUAGAGCAACAAAGCCUGAGGAUG